RNAcentral lists this ribosomal RNA (811 nucleotides) under Tetragenococcus halophilus. RNAcentral's name for it is "bacterial SSU rRNA". It matches the Rfam family "Bacterial small subunit ribosomal RNA", at positions 397 to 1201 of the family's 1533-position model. The record is from RNAcentral. Lineage: Bacteria; Bacillati; Bacillota; Bacilli; Lactobacillales; Enterococcaceae.
CCGCGUGAGUGAAGAAGGUUUUCGGAUCGUAAAGCUCUGUUGUUAGCGAAGAACAGGAGAAAGAGGCAAUGCUUUUUGGGUUACUGUAGCUGACCAAAAAGCCACGGCUAACUACGUGCCAGCAGCCGCGGUAAUACGUAGGUGGCAAGCGUUGUCCGGAUUUAUUGGGCGUAAAGCGAGCGCAGGCGGUGAUUUAAGUAUGAUGUGAAAGCCCCCAGCUCAACUGGGGAGGGUCAUUGGAAACUGGAUCACUUGAGUGCAGAAGAGGAGAGUGGAAUUCCAUGUGUAGCGGUGAAAUGCGUAGAUAUAUGGAGGAACACCAGUGGCGAAGGCGGCUUUCUGGUCUGUAAAUGACGCUGAGGCUCGAAAGCGUGGGUAGCAAACAGGAUUAGAUACCCUGGUAGUCCACGCCGUAAACGAUGAGUGCUAAGUGUUGGAGGGUUUCCGCCCUUCAGUGCUGCAGUUAACGCAUUAAGCACUCCGCCUGGGGAGUACGACCGCAAGGUUGAAACUCAAAGGAAUUGACGGGGGCCCGCACAAGCGGUGGAGCAUGUGGUUUAAUUCGAAGCAACGCGAAGAACCUUACCAGGUCUUGACAUCCUUUGACCGCCCUAGAGAUAGGGUUUCCCCUUCGGGGGCAAAGUGACAGGUGGUGCAUGGUUGUCGUCAGCUCGUGUCGUGAGAUGUUGGGUUAAGUCCCGUAACGAGCGCAACCCUUAUUGUUAGUUGCCAGCAUUGCGUUGGGCACUCUAGCAAGACUGCCGGUGACAAACCGGAGGAAGGCGGGGAUGACGUCAAAUCAUCAUGCCCC